RNAcentral lists this transfer RNA (72 nucleotides) under Camelus bactrianus (Bactrian camel). It matches the Rfam family "tRNA". Rfam says of the family: Transfer RNA (tRNA) molecules are approximately 80 nucleotides in length. Lineage: Eukaryota; Metazoa; Chordata; Mammalia; Artiodactyla; Camelidae. The record is from Rfam by way of RNAcentral. RNAcentral also lists the same sequence under 2 other names.
GAGGGUAUAGCUCAGUGGUACAGCCCACGCCUAGCAUGCAUGAGGUCCCGGGUUCAAUCCCUAGUACCUCCA